UUAGGGUUAGGGCCAGGGGUUAGGGUUGAGGGUUAGGGUUACUUGGGUUGCGGGUUAGGGGUUAGGGUUAGGGUUAGGGUUAGGGUUAGGGUUAGGGUUAGGGUUACCGGGAAACGCACCAGAGGUUGGACGGGUUGGGGGUUAGGUUUUGGGAAAGAAUCCCGUCUCCCCUAAAUUGCCCUACUUGGGUCGGCGGGGAGCGGGGAAUGCACGGGCCUUCGCCCACUGGACACGCUCCCCCGGUCCCAGAAGACACUUAUUUGUGUUAUGAAUUAAAUUGUUUUUAAUAAAUUAGUUUUAGUGUGUUGUGUAAUUCAUAUUUGUUAAAUUAAUCCAUUUUUUUAGGUUUUUAACUGUUGUUUACACACAAACACACAAACAAACAAACAUACAUGAACACUACUUGAACUAUGUAUAUGAUGUGUGCACCGCGACGACGUUUCGACCUAGUUUGGUCUUCAUCAGGUCUAUGCACACAUAAUGGCUGCUGGGCCCCAAUUCAUAGGGGUUCACCCAGCAAGCAGCCAAAAGAAAAUGAAUUUUCCCUGUCCUGUAUUCCCUUUUAUACCCUUUGGACAAGAAAUUAACUGAAUUUCUCUCGGAUAUUUAGUUUAAAUUCAACUUUAUUUAGUUUGUAAAUGUUAACCCUAUAAUCGCUGUUUGGUUUUAAACUGACCAGUAGAGUUAGGGUUAGGGUCAGUAUUAGGGUUAGGGUUCAAAUCCGAGGGUUAGGGUUAGGGUUAGGGUUAGGGUUAAGGCCACGAUUGGGGCUAGAUGGCGCUAGGGUUAGGGUUAGGGCCCUUUCAUAAUGGUUAGGGUUAGGGCCAGAGCCACGGCUGGGGCUAGAAAUGAAUCCCGUCUCUCCUAUAGUGACCCUACUUGGGUCUGCGGGGAGCGGGAUAGCACUAGGGUUAGGGUUAGGGCCCUCAUAAUGGUUAGGGUUAGGGCCAGGUCCACGGUUGGGGCUAGAAAUGAUUCCCGUCUCUCCUAACGUGACCCUACUUGGGUCUGCGGGGAGCGGGAAAUGAUGAAGCGCCAGGAUCAGGGUUAAGGUAAGUAGCACUGUUUUUAGGCUUUGCAGAUCCGGGACCGAGGAAACGCACCAGAGAUGGACGAGGCACUGGCGGGUAAGGUUUUGGGAAAGAAUCCCGUCUCCCCUAAAUUGCCCUACUUGGGCGGCGGGGAGCGGGGAAUGCACGGGCCUUCGCCCACUGGACACGCUCCCCCGGUCCCAGAAGACACUUAUUUGUGUUAUGAAUUAAAUUGUUUUUAAUAAAUUAGUUUUAGUGUGUUGUGUAAUUCAUAUUUGUUAAAUUAAUCCAUUUUUUUAGGUUUUUAACUGUUGUUUACACACAAACACACAAACAAACAAACAUACAUGAACACUACUUGAACUAUGUAUAUGAUGUGUGCACCGCGACGACGUUUCGACCUAGUUUGGUCUUCAUCAGGUCUAUGCACACAUAAUGGCUGCUGGGCCCCAAUUCAUAGGGGUUCACCCAGCAAGCAGCCAAAAGAAAAUGAAUUUUCCCUGUCCUGUAUUCCCUUUUAUACCCUUUGGACAAGAAAUUAACUGAAUUUCUCUCGGAUAUUUAGUUUAAAUUCAACUUUAUUUAGUUUGUAAAUGUUAACCCUAUAAUCGCUGUUUGGUUUUAAACUGACCAGUAGAGUUAGGGUUAGGGUCAGUAUUAGGGUUAGGGUUCAAAUCCGAGGGUUAGGGUUAGGGUUAGGGUUAGGGUUAAGGCCACGAUUGGGGCUAGAUGGCGCUAGGGUUAGGGUUAGGGCCCUUUCAUAAUGGUUAGGGUUAGGGCCAGAGCCACGGCUGGGGCUAGAAAUGAAUCCCGUCUCUCCUAUAGUGACCCUACUUGGGUCUGCGGGGAGCGGGAUAGCACUAGGGUUAGGGUUAGGGCCCUCAUAAUGGUUAGGGUUAGGGCCAGGUCCACGGUUGGGGCUAGAAAUGAUUCCCGUCUCUCCUAACGUGACCCUACUUGGGUCUGCGGGGAGCGGGAAAUGAUGAAGCGCCAGGAUCAGGGUUAAGGUAAAUAGCACUGUUUUUAGGCUUUGCAGAUCCGGGACCGAGGAAACGCACCAGAGAUGGACGAGGCACUGGCGGGUAAGGUUUUGGGAAAGAAUCCCGUCUCCCCUAAAUUGCCCUACUUGGGUCGGCGGGGAGCGGGGAAUGCACGGGCCUUCGCCCACUGGACACGCUCCCCCGGUCCCAGAAGACACUUAUUUGUGUUAUGAAUUAAAUUGUUUUUAAUAAAUUAGUUUUAGUGUGUUGUGUAAUUCAUAUUUGUUAAAUUAAUCCAUUUUUUUAGGUUUUUAACUGUUGUUUACACACAAACACACAAACAAACAAACAUACAUGAACACUACUUGAACUAUGUAUAUGAUGUGUGCACCGCGACGACGUUUCGACCUAGUUUGGUCUUCAUCAGGUCUAUGCACACAUAAUGGCUGCUGGGCCCCAAUUCAUAGGGGUUCACCCAGCAAGCAGCCAAAAGAAAAUGAAUUUUCCCUGUCCUGUAUUCCCUUUUAUACCCUUUGGACAAGAAAUUAACUGAAUUUCUCUCGGAUAUUUAGUUUAAAUUCAACUUUAUUUAGUUUGUAAAUGUUAACCCUAUAAUCGCUGUUUGGUUUUAAACUGACCAGUAGAGUUAGGGUUAGGGUCAGUAUUAGGGUUAGGGUUCAAAUCCGAGGGUUAGGGUUAGGGUUAGGGUUAGGGUUAAGGCCACGAUUGGGGCUAGAUGGCGCUAGGGUUAGGGUUAGGGCCCUUUCAUAAUGGUUAGGGUUAGGGCCAGAGCCACGGCUGGGGCUAGAAAUGAAUCCCGUCUCUCCUAUAGUGACCCUACUUGGGUCUGCGGGGAGCGGGAUAGCACUAGGGUUAGGGUUAGGGCCCUCAUAAUGGUUAGGGUUAGGGCCAGGUCCACGGUUGGGGCUAGAAAUGAUUCCCGUCUCUCCUAACGUGACCCUACUUGGGUCUGCGGGGAGCGGGAAAUGAUGAAGCGCCAGGAUCAGGGUUAAGGUAAGUAGCACUGUUUUUAGGCUUUGCAGAUCCGGGACCGAGGAAACGCACCAGAGAUGGACGAGGCACUGGCGGGUAAGGUUUUGGGAAAGAAUCCCGUCUCCCCUAAAUUGCCCUACUUGGGUCGGCGGGGAGCGGGGAAUGCACGGGCCUUCGCCCACUGGACACGCUCCCCCGGUCCCAGAAGACACUUAUUUGUGUUAUGAAUUAAAUUGUUUUUAAUAAAUUAGUUUUAGUGUGUUGUGUAAUUCAUAUUUGUUAAAUUAAUCCAUUUUUUUAGGUUUUUAACUGUUGUUUACACACAAACACACAAACAAACAAACAUACAUGAACACUACUUGAACUAUGUAUAUGAUGUGUGCACCGCGACGACGUUUCGACCUAGUUUGGUCUUCAUCAGGUCUAUGCACACAUAAUGGCUGCUGGGCCCCAAUUCAUAGGGGUUCACCCAGCAAGCAGCCAAAAGAAAAUGAAUUUUCCCUGUCCUGUAUUCCCUUUUAUACCCUUUGGACAAGAAAUUAACUGAAUUUCUCUCGGAUAUUUAGUUUAAAUUCAACUUUAUUUAGUUUGUAAAUGUUAACCCUAUAAUCGCUGUUUGGUUUUAAACUGACCAGUAGAGUUAGGGUUAGGGUCAGUAUUAGGGUUAGGGUUCAAAUCCGAGGGUUAGGGUUAGGGUUAGGGUUAGGGUUAAGGCCACGAUUGGGGCUAGAUGGCGCUAGGGUUAGGGUUAGGGCCCUUUCAUAAUGGUUAGGGUUAGGGCCAGAGCCACGGCUGGGGCUAGAAAUGAAUCCCGUCUCUCCUAUAGUGACCCUACUUGGGUCUGCGGGGAGCGGGAUAGCACUAGGGUUAGGGUUAGGGCCCUCAUAAUGGUUAGGGUUAGGGCCAGGUCCACGGUUGGGCUAGAAAUGAUCUCUGGGGCUCUAACGUGACCCUACUUGG
Xyrichtys novacula (pearly razorfish) is the source of this 3964-nucleotide non-coding RNA. The record is from the annotation of a GenBank genome assembly. Lineage: Eukaryota; Metazoa; Chordata; Actinopteri; Labriformes; Labridae.